CCUACGGGAGGCAGCAGUAAGGAAUAUUGGUCAAUGGGGGCAACCCUGAACCAGCCAUGCCGCGUGCAGGAUGACUGCCCUAUGGGUUGUAAACUGCUUUUGUUAGGGAAUAAACCCCACUACGUGUAGUGGGCUGAAUGUACCUAAAGAAUAAGGAUCGGCUAACUCCGUGCCAGCAGCCGCGGUAAUACGGAGGAUCCGAGCGUUAUCCGGAUUUAUUGGGUUUAAAGGGUGCGUAGGCGGCACUUUAAGUCAGGGGUGAAAGACGGCAGCUCAACUGUCGCAGUGCCCUUGAUACUGAAGUGCUUGAAUGCGGUUGAAGACGGCGGAAUGAGACAAGUAGCGGUGAAAUGCAUAGAUAUGUCUCAGAACACCGAUUGCGAAGGCAGCUGUCUAAGCCGUUAUUGACGCUGAUGCACGAAAGCGUGGGGAUCGAACAGGAUUAGAUACCCUGGUAGUCCACGCCCUAAACGAUGAUGACUCGAUGUUUGCGAUAUACCGUAAGCGUCCAAGCGAAAGCGUUAAGUCAUCCACCUGGGGAGUACGCCCGCAAGGGUGAAACUCAAAUGAAUUGACGGGG
Molecule: ribosomal RNA, 580 nt
Filed under: uncultured Sphingobacterium sp.
Lineage: Bacteria; Pseudomonadati; Bacteroidota; Sphingobacteriia; Sphingobacteriales; Sphingobacteriaceae
Description: bacterial SSU rRNA
Rfam family: Bacterial small subunit ribosomal RNA
Source: RNAcentral